This 253-nucleotide ribosomal RNA is filed under the name uncultured bacterium. Its description in RNAcentral is "partial 16S ribosomal RNA". It matches the Rfam family "Bacterial small subunit ribosomal RNA", at positions 524 to 776 of the family's 1533-position model. The record is from RNAcentral.
UACAGAGGGUGCGAGCGUUAAUCGGAAUUACUGGGCGUAAAGCGUGCGUAGACGGUUGCAUAAGUCGGAUGUGAAAUCCCCGGGCUCAACCUGGGAAUUGCAUUCGAGACUGUGUAGCUGGGGUGCGGAAGAGGGAAGCGGAAUUUCCGGUGUAGCGGUGAAAUGCGUAGAUAUCGGAAGGAACAUCAGUGGCGAAAGCGGCUUCCUGGUCCAGCACAGACGUUCAGGCGCGAAAGCGUGGGGAGCAAACAGG